GGUUUGCGGUAGUGUAGAGACGCGGUUACUUCGGUCUGCGAAACCGACGAUGAGGGUUCGACUCCCUCUGCAAAGCA
This 77-nucleotide transfer RNA is filed under the name Planctomycetales bacterium. Its description in RNAcentral is "tRNA-Arg". It matches the Rfam family "tRNA". From Rfam's summary of the family: Transfer RNA (tRNA) molecules are approximately 80 nucleotides in length. The record is from RNAcentral. Lineage: Bacteria; Pseudomonadati; Planctomycetota; Planctomycetia; Planctomycetales.